GAUGAAGAACGUAGUGAAAUGCGAUAAGUAAUGCGAAUUGCAGAAUUCAGUGAAUCAUCGAAUCUUUGAACGCACAUUGCGCCCGCUAGUAUUCUGGCGGGCAUGCCUGUCUGAGCGUCAUUUCAACCCUCGCCCCCGGCUUUUGCUGGGAGCGGUGUUGGGGAUCGGCCGCCCGUCACUGGGAGGCCGGCCCCGAAAUAGAGUGGCGACCACGCCGUGUGCUCCUCUGCGUAGUAGUAAAUCACCUCGCAGGCGGACAGCGGUGCGGCCUGCCGUAAAACCCCCAACUCUUUCUGGUUGACCUCAGAUCAGGUAGGAAUACCCGCUGAACUUAAGCAUAUCAAUAAGCGGAGGA
This 355-nucleotide unclassified non-coding RNA is filed under the name soil metagenome. Its description in RNAcentral is "partial contains 5.8S ribosomal RNA, internal transcribed spacer 2, and large subunit ribosomal RNA". The stretch from base 1 to 120 matches the Rfam family "5.8S ribosomal RNA", at positions 35 to 154 of the family's 154-position model. The record is from RNAcentral.